AGUGCAGACGCGGAACUGGCGCCCGCUCGGAGCGGCGCCGCGCUGGGGAGCGACUGACGCCCCGCUGCCGGGGGACGUCGGGCUGGGCCUGGCCAGUCCCCCAGAGCUUGGGAGACUUCGAUUUUCAGAAUUCCUCCUGGGAAUGCUGACUCCUUGCUUGGUGCCCUGAUGCUUCUCUGAGAUAAACUGAUGAAUUGGAACCAUGGUGCAAAAGAAGAAGUUCUGUCCUCGGUUACUUGACUAUCUAGUGAUCGUAGGGGCCAGGCACCCGAGCAGUGAUAGCGUGGCCCAGACUCCUGAAUUGCUACGGCGAUACCCCUUGGAGGAUCACACUGAGUUUCCCCUGCCCCCAGAUGUAGUGUUCUUCUGCCAGCCCGAGGGCUGCCUGAGCGUGCGGCAGCGGCGCAUGAGCCUUCGGGAUGAUACCUCUUUUGUCUUCACCCUCACUGACAAGGACACUGGAGUCACGCGAUAUGGCAUCUGUGUUAACUUCUACCGCUCCUUCCAAAAGCGAAUCUCUAAGGAGAAGGGGGAAGGUGGGGCAGGGUCCCGUGGGAAGGAAGGAACCCAUGCCACCUGUGCCUCAGAAGAGGGUGGCACUGAGAGCUCAGAGAGUGGCUCAUCCCUGCAGCCUCUCAGUGCUGACUCUACCCCUGAUGUGAACCAGUCUCCUCGGGGCAAACGCCGGGCCAAGGCGGGGAGCCGCUCCCGCAACAGUACUCUCACGUCCCUGUGCGUGCUCAGCCACUACCCUUUCUUCUCCACCUUCCGAGAGUGUUUGUAUACUCUCAAGCGCCUGGUGGACUGCUGUAGUGAGCGCCUUCUGGGCAAGAAACUGGGCAUCCCUCGAGGCGUACAAAGGGACACCAUGUGGCGGAUCUUUACUGGAUCGCUGCUGGUAGAGGAGAAGUCAAGUGCCCUUCUGCAUGACCUUCGAGAGAUUGAGGCCUGGAUCUAUCGAUUGCUGCGCUCCCCAGUACCCGUCUCUGGGCAGAAGCGAGUAGACAUCGAGGUCCUACCCCAAGAGCUCCAGCCAGCUCUGACCUUUGCUCUUCCAGACCCAUCUCGAUUCACCCUAGUGGAUUUCCCACUGCACCUUCCCUUGGAACUUCUAGGUGUGGACGCCUGUCUCCAGGUGCUAACCUGCAUUCUGUUAGAGCACAAGGUGGUGCUACAGUCCCGAGACUACAAUGCACUCUCCAUGUCUGUGAUGGCAUUCGUGGCAAUGAUCUACCCACUGGAGUAUAUGUUUCCUGUCAUCCCGCUGCUACCCACCUGCAUGGCAUCAGCAGAGCAGCUGCUGUUGGCUCCAACCCCGUACAUCAUUGGGGUUCCUGCCAGCUUCUUCCUCUACAAACUGGACUUCAAAAUGCCUGAUGAUGUAUGGCUAGUGGAUCUGGACAGCAAUAGGGUGAUUGCCCCCACCAAUGCAGAAGUGCUGCCUAUCCUGCCAGAACCAGAAUCACUAGAGCUGAAAAAGCAUUUAAAGCAGGCCUUGGCCAGCAUGAGUCUCAACACCCAGCCCAUCCUCAAUCUGGAGAAAUUUCAUGAGGGCCAGGAGAUCCCCCUUCUCUUGGGAAGGCCUUCUAAUGACCUGCAGUCCACACCGUCCACUGAAUUCAACCCACUCAUCUAUGGCAAUGAUGUGGAUUCUGUGGAUGUUGCAACCAGGGUUGCCAUGGUACGGUUCUUCAAUUCCGCCAACGUGCUGCAGGGAUUUCAGAUGCACACGCGUACCCUGCGCCUCUUUCCUCGGCCUGUGGUAGCUUUUCAAGCUGGCUCCUUUCUAGCCUCACGUCCCCGGCAGACUCCUUUUGCCGAGAAAUUGGCCAGGACUCAGGCUGUGGAGUACUUUGGGGAAUGGAUCCUUAACCCCACCAACUAUGCCUUUCAGCGAAUUCACAACAAUAUGUUUGAUCCAGCCCUGAUUGGUGACAAGCCAAAGUGGUAUGCUCAUCAGCUGCAGCCUAUCCACUAUCGCGUCUAUGACAGCAAUUCCCAGCUGGCUGAGGCCCUGAGUGUACCACCAGAGCGGGACUCUGACUCCGAACCUACUGAUGAUAGUGGCAGUGAUAGUAUGGAUUAUGACGAUUCAAGCUCUUCUUACUCCUCCCUUGGUGACUUUGUCAGUGAAAUGAUGAAAUGUGACAUUAAUGGUGAUACUCCCACACUGGGGGAUGCCAGCGAGGUGGAGAUUGACGAGCUGCAGAAUCAGAAGGAAGCAGAAGAGCCUGGCCCAGACAGUGAGAACUCUCAGGAAAACCCCCCACUGCGCUCCAGCUCUAGCACCACAGCCAGCAGCAGCCCCAGCACUGUCAUCCACGGAGCCAACUCUGAACCUGCUGACUCUACGGAGAUGGAUGAUAAGGCAGCAGUAGGCGUCUCCAAGCCCCUCCCUUCCGUGCCUCCCAGCAUUGGCAAAUCGAACGUGGACAGACGUCAGGCAGAAAUUGGAGAGGGGUCAGUGCGCCGGCGAAUCUAUGACAAUCCAUACUUCGAGCCCCAAUAUGGCUUUCCCCCUGAGGAAGAUGAGGAUGAGCAGGGGGAAAGUUACACUCCCCGAUUCAGCCAACAUGUCAGUGGCAAUCGGGCUCAAAAGCUGCUGCGGCCCAACAGCUUGAGACUGGCAAGUGACUCAGAUGCAGAGUCAGACUCUCGGGCAAGCUCUCCCAACUCCACCGUCUCCAACACCAGCACCGAGGGCUUCGGGGGCAUCAUGUCUUUUGCCAGCAGCCUCUAUCGGAACCACAGUACCAGCUUCAGUCUUUCAAACCUCACACUGCCCACCAAAGGUGCCCGAGAGAAGGCCACGCCCUUCCCCAGUCUGAAAGGAAACAGGAGGGCGUUAGUGGAUCAGAAGUCAUCUGUCAUUAAACACAGCCCAACAGUGAAAAGAGAACCUCCAUCACCCCAGGGUCGAUCCAGCAAUUCUAGUGAGAACCAGCAGUUCCUGAAGGAGGUGGUGCACAGCGUGCUGGACGGCCAGGGAGUUGGCUGGCUCAACAUGAAAAAGGUGCGCCGGCUGCUGGAGAGCGAGCAGCUGCGAGUCUUUGUCCUGAGCAAGCUGAACCGCAUGGUGCAGUCAGAGGACGAUGCCCGGCAGGACAUCAUCCCGGAUGUGGAGAUCAGUCGGAAGGUGUACAAGGGAAUGUUAGACCUCCUCAAGUGUACAGUCCUCAGCUUGGAGCAGUCCUAUGCCCACGCGGGUCUGGGUGGCAUGGCCAGCAUCUUUGGGCUUUUGGAGAUUGCCCAGACCCACUACUAUAGUAAAGAACCAGACAAGCGGAAGAGAAGUCCAACAGAAAGUGUAAAUACCCCAGUUGGCAAGGAUCCUGGCCUAGCUGGGCGGGGGGACCCAAAGGCUAUGGCACAACUGAGAGUUCCACAACUGGGACCUCGGGCACCAAGUGCCACAGGAAAGGGUCCUAAGGAACUGGACACCAGAAGUUUAAAGGAAGAAAAUUUUAUAGCAUCUAUUGAAUUGUGGAACAAGCACCAGGAAGUGAAAAAGCAAAAAGCUUUGGAAAAACAGAGGCCUGAAGUAAUCAAACCUGUCUUUGACCUUGGUGAGACAGAGGAGAAAAAGUCCCAGAUCAGCGCAGACAGUGGUGUGAGCCUGACGUCUAGUUCCCAGGGUCUCAUUCUGUCGCUGCAGCUGGAGAGCAGUGGUGUGCUCUCUGCUCACUGCAGCCUCAAACUCCUGGGCUCAAGUGAUGCUCCCACCUCAGCGUCCUGAGCAUCUGGGACCGCAGGCACCCACCACCAUGCCUGGCUAAGUUUGUGUAUUUUUUGUAGAGAUGGGGUUUCGCCAUGUUGCCCAGCCUGGUCUCCAACUCCUGGGCUGAAAUGAUCCUCCCACCUCAGCCUCCCAAAGUGCUAGGACUACAGGCGUGAGCCACUGUGCCCGGCCUAUUUCUUUUUUUUAUUACAUAAGUUGUACAUAUUUUAUAUUCUGGAAACAAAAGUUGCUCGUGACUUCUCUAAGGAUGAUAACAGAAGGGUGGGGAUGAGGAGAAAGAAAAAGGUACAGUAUUUCUGUGGGAAACUGAGAGGAGAUUGGACACCUCCCCUAAUGUUCCUGUGUCUUGUUUCAGAGGACUGAUCAAGACUCUGUCAUCGGCGUGAGUCCAGCUGUUAUGAUCCGCAGCUCAAGUCAGGAUUCUGAAGUGAGUAAUAGCUCUGGAGAGACCCUUGGAGCUGACAGUGACUUGAGCAGCAAUGCAGGUGAUGGACCAGGUGGCGAGGGCAGUGUUCACCUGGCAAGCUCUCGGGGCACUUUGUCUGAUAGUGAAAUUGAGACCAACUCUGCCACAAGCACCAUCUUUGGUAAAGCCCACAGCUUGAAGCCAAGCAUAAAGGAGAAGCUGGCAGGCAGCCCCAUUCGUACUUCUGAAGAUGUGAGCCAGCGAGUCUAUCUCUAUGAGGGACUCCUAGGAAGGGACAAAGGAUCCAUGUGGGACCAGUUAGAGGAUGCAGCUAUGGAGACCUUUUCUAUAAGCAAAGAGCGUUCUACUUUAUGGGACCAAAUGCAAUUCUGGGAAGAUGCCUUCUUAGAUGCUGUGAUGUUGGAGAGAGAAGGGAUGGGUAUGGACCAGGGUCCCCAGGAAAUGAUCGACAGGUACCUGUCCCUUGGAGAACAUGACCGGAAGCGCCUGGAAGAUGAUGAAGAUCGCUUGUUGGCCACACUUCUGCACAACCUCAUCUCCUACAUGCUGCUGAUGAAGGUAAAUAAGAAUGACAUCCGCAAGAAGGUGAGGCGCCUAAUGGGAAAGUCGCACAUUGGGCUUGUGUACAGCCAGCAAAUCAAUGAGGUGCUUGAUCAGCUGGCGAACCUGAAUGGACGCGAUCUCUCUAUCUGGUCCAGUGGCAGCCGGCACAUGAAGAAGCAGACAUUUGUGGUACAUGCAGGGACAGAUACAAACGGAGAUAUCUUUUUCAUGGAGGUGUGCGAUGACUGUGUGGUGUUGCGUAGUAACAUCGGAACAGUGUAUGAGCGCUGGUGGUACGAGAAGCUCAUCAACAUGACCUACUGUCCCAAGACGAAGGUGUUGUGCUUGUGGCGUAGAAAUGGCUCUGAGACCCAGCUCAACAAGUUCUAUACUAAAAAGUGUCGGGAGCUGUACUACUGUGUGAAGGACAGCAUGGAGCGCGCUGCCGCCCGACAGCAAAGCAUCAAACCCGGACCUGAAUUGGGUGGCGAGUUCCCUGUGCAGGACCUGAAGACUGGUGAGGGUGGCCUGCUGCAGGUGACCCUGGAAGGGAUCAACCUCAAAUUCAUGCACAAUCAGUUCCUGAAAUUAAAGAAGUGGUGAGCCACAAGUACAAGACACCAAUGGCCCACGAAAUCUGCUACUCCGUAUUAUGUCUCUUCUCGUACGUGGCUGCAGUUCAUAGCAGUGAGGAAGAUCUCAGAACCCCGCCCCGGCCUGUCUCUAGCUGAUGGAGAGGGGCUACGCAGCUGCCCCAGCCCAGGGCACGCCCCUGGCCCCUUGCUGUUCCCAAGUGCACGAUGCUGCUGUGACUGAGGAGUGGAUGAUGCUCGUGUGUCCUCUGCAAGCCCCCUGCUGUGGCUUGGUUGGUUACCGGUUAUGUGUCCCUCUGAGUGUGUCUUGAGCGUGUCCACCUUCUCCCUCUCCACUCCCAGAAGACCAAACUGCCUUCCCCUCAGGGCUCAAGAAUGUGUACAGUCUGUGGGGCCGGUGUGAACCCACUAUUUUGUGUCCUUGAGACAUUUGUGUUGUGGUUCCUUGUCCUUGUCCCUGGCGUUAUAACUGUCCACUGCAAGAGUCUGGCUCUCCCUUCUCUGUGACCCGGCAUGACUGGGCGCCUGGAGCAGUUUCACUCUGUGAGGAGUGAGGGAACCCUGGGGCUCACCCUCUCAGAGGAAGGGCACAGAGAGGAAGGGAAGAAUUGGGGGGCAGCCGGAGUGAGUGGCAGCCUCCCUGCUUCCUUCUGCAUUCCCAAGCCGGCAGCUACUGCCCAGGGCCCGCAGUGUUGGCUGCUGCCUGCCACAGCCUCUGUGACUGCAGUGGAGCGGCGAAUUCCCUGUGGCCUGCCAUGCCUUCGGCAUCAGAGGAUGGAGUGGUCGAGGCUAGUGGAGUCCCAGGGACCGCUGGCUGCUCUGCCUGAGCAUCAGGGAGGGGGCAGGAAAGACCAAGCUGGGUUUGCACAUCUGUCUGCAGGCUGUCUCUCCAGGCACGGGGUGUCAGGAGGGAGAGACAGCCUGGGUAUGGGCAAGAAAUGACUGUAAAUAUUUCAGCCCCACAUUAUUUAUAGAAAAUGUACAGUUGUGUGAAUGUGAAAUAAAUGUCCUCAACUCCC
This is an RNA transcript of Homo sapiens (human), 6321 nucleotides long. It is a transcript of the gene named MAP kinase activating death domain, with no coding region annotated. Lineage: Eukaryota; Metazoa; Chordata; Mammalia; Primates; Hominidae. The transcript is spliced from 34 exons. The record is from RefSeq and is marked reviewed.